AUUGAACGCUGGCGGCGUGCCUAACACAUGCAAGUCGAGCGAAUUUAUGGGAGCUUGCUCCCAUACGUUAGCGGCGCACGGGUGAGUAACACGUGGACAAUCUACCCAUCAGCACGGGAUAACAGUUGGAAACGGCUGCUAAUACCGUAUACGAUCCAAUUAACCUUGGGUGAAAGGAGGCCUCUGCAUAUGCUUUCACUGAUGGAUGAGUCCGCGCCUCAUUAGGUAGACGGCGGGGUAACGGCCCACCGUGCCGACGAUGAGUAGCCGGCCUGAGAGGGUAAUCGGCCACACUGGGACUGGAACACGGCCCAGACUCCUACGGGAGGCAGCAGUGGGGAAUAUUGCGCAAUGGACGAAAGUCUGACGCAGCGACGCCGCGUGAGGGAUGAAGGCCUUCGGGUCGUAAACCUCUGUCAGGAGGGAAGAACCGCAAUCGUGCUAAUCAGCGAUUGUCUGACGGUACCUCCAAAGGAAGCACCGGCUAACUCCGUGCCAGCAGCCGCCGUAAAAC
This 514-nucleotide ribosomal RNA is filed under the name uncultured bacterium. Its description in RNAcentral is "bacterial SSU rRNA". It matches the Rfam family "Bacterial small subunit ribosomal RNA", at positions 30 to 526 of the family's 1533-position model. The record is from RNAcentral.